CAAAAUACCGAUUUUCAGGAGAUGGUUCUACGACACUUCUAGCAUAGUUACCUACCUGGAAAGAAUCUCUAGCUGAAAUUUGUUCGUGUUUUGAGCACUUUUACUAUUGUUACAGCUAUUUUUGCCUCUUUCUUCUUACUUUUUUGUCAAAAAUUGCGAUGAUGUAAUUCAAUUCAGUUAAUUAGACAAAAGAUCAACCUUUACCAGUGAUUAAAUUGUGCAGUGUAUGACAGACACAUGACAGGAGGACUCAGUGAGAGCCAAAUCUAAGCUGACUGGUUAUAUCAAAUGGCAACCCGAAAAUUGGACUCAGGCCCUCCAGCUGCAGAUAGUGUAACGCUAAAAGCAGAGCUCAAGCUGUUGAAGGCAGAAGUAAAGAGACUCAGUAUGGAAUUCGGAGAAUUUAAAAAGGUUGCUGAAGCAGCUCAAAUGGAAUAUGAUAUCGCACGCCACUUCGUCAUCGAGCUGACUAACAAACUAAAAGACUUAUAGACAAUUAACGUACACUAAUGCCUGUUAUAAAUUUAUAGCACUAUUAUUUAUGUGUCAGCGCUUGCAAUUGAAGUUUGACAUUAAGACUUUCAAGCAAAAUUAAGUUGACAAUAAAAAAUAAUGCAUACAAUUUUAUUUU
This is a long non-coding RNA of Halichondria panicea, 631 nucleotides long. RefSeq lists it as uncharacterized. The record is from RefSeq and is a predicted model, not a curated record. Lineage: Eukaryota; Metazoa; Porifera; Demospongiae; Suberitida; Halichondriidae. The transcript is spliced from 3 exons.